This 343-nucleotide ribosomal RNA is filed under the name Pseudarthrobacter sp. RNAcentral describes it as "bacterial SSU rRNA". It matches the Rfam family "Bacterial small subunit ribosomal RNA", at positions 791 to 1132 of the family's 1533-position model. Lineage: Bacteria; Bacillati; Actinomycetota; Actinomycetes; Micrococcales; Micrococcaceae. The record is from RNAcentral.
UAGUCCAUGCCGUAAACGUUGGGCACUAGGUGUGGGGGACAUUCCACGUUUUCCGCGCCGUAGCUAACGCAUUAAGUGCCCCGCCUGGGGAGUACGGCCGCAAGGCUAAAACUCAAAGGAAUUGACGGGGGCCCGCACAAGCGGCGGAGCAUGCGGAUUAAUUCGAUGCAACGCGAAGAACCUUACCAAGGCUUGACAUGAACCGGAAAGACCUGGAAACAGGUCCCCCACUUGUGGUCGGUUUACAGGUGGUGCAUGGUUGUCGUCAGCUCGUGUCGUGAGAUGUUGGGUUAAGUCCCGCAACGAGCGCAACCCUCGUUCUAUGUUGCCAGCACGUGAUGGU